RNAcentral lists this non-coding RNA (45 nucleotides) under Schistosoma margrebowiei. The record is from RNAcentral. Lineage: Eukaryota; Metazoa; Platyhelminthes; Trematoda; Strigeidida; Schistosomatidae.
AUCCAGCUGACGAGUCCCAAAUCUGAUGAAACACUCGUCCUGGAU